CAAAUUGCUUGUACAUGGCAAGCAUCCAAAAAUGGUACCCCAGGAAAGGCUUUACCACCAAAGACCCCUCCUCCUGCCAGCGCCCUCAACCUUCAUCAACAUUAACCUCCAGAAACUAUGUGACAUGAGGGUCAGCCCCGUUUCUGUGGAAGGAGCCACAGUAUUGUGGCUUAGAGGGCAUUUUUAGCUAAUCCUGCCUGCAUCCAAAUCCCAGACCUACCACUUGCUGAGUGAAUUGACACGAUUUAACCUGCCUGGGCCUUCUGUUUCUGCUGCUGUGACUUGAAAAGAUGAUAAUGGUGGCCAUGCCCUGCAGAGAUGAGAAACCUCAUAACGCCCAGCCCAGUGCACAGGAAGACCCCACAUUUUAGAGACAGAAGAGCCUGUUAAAUGUCCUUUGAUUUUUUUGCUCACACCUCUCAGGAGGUGAGAGGAAAUCACCAGGGGUGGAAGAGUGUCUAACCAACCAGGAGGAGGCUAUUUUCCAGUCUGGGUUGCUCAGGGAAAAUGAAUGGAAAUGAUACAUCCACUUUCCAAGAUUUGAGCCACAAAAGCAAGACUGCCUUCCUCUUCCUUCUAUCUUCCUGCUAGCCAGGAGCUAGGGAGCCCUGGACCAGCAGCCCUGAAGGCAGGAAAGAGUCCCUGUCCACAGCAAAGGCGCACAAUCUGUCAGAGGAAAUAAAGGGCCAUCACUUCGUGCAUCUUUGGAUCUCUCCAC
Molecule: long non-coding RNA, 718 nt
Filed under: Rattus norvegicus (Norway rat)
Lineage: Eukaryota; Metazoa; Chordata; Mammalia; Rodentia; Muridae
Description: long non-coding RNA NONRATT029604
Source: RNAcentral